RNAcentral lists this ribosomal RNA (507 nucleotides) under uncultured bacterium. RNAcentral's name for it is "partial 16S ribosomal RNA". It matches the Rfam family "Bacterial small subunit ribosomal RNA", at positions 28 to 507 of the family's 1533-position model. The record is from RNAcentral.
GACGAACGCUGGCGGCGUGCUUAACACAUGCAAGUCGAACGGGCCUUGUCCCCUUUUUUUUGGGGGUGGGGUUAGUGGCGAACGGGUGAGUAACACGUGAGUAACCUGCCCCUCACUUCUGGAUAACCGCUUGAAAGGGUGGCUAAUACGGGGUGUUCUGGCCUGCUCGCAUGGGUGGGUUUGGAAAGAUUCGACCGGUUUUGGUUGUUUUGGUGGGGGAUGGGCUCGCGGCCUAUCAGCUUGUUGGUGGGGUGAUGGCCUGCCAAGGCUUUGACGGGUAGCCGGCCUGAGAGGGUGGGCGGUCACACUGGGACUGAGACACGGCCCAGACUCCUACGGGGGGCAGCAGUGGGGAAUAUUGCACAAUGGGCGCAAGCCUGAUGCAGCGACGCCGCGUGAGGGAUGGAGGCCUUCGGGUUGUGAACCUCUUUCGCCAGUGAAGAAGGUCCUGCUCUUUGUGGUGGGGUUGACGGUAGCUGGGUUAAUGAAGCGCCGGCUAACUACGUG